This is a long non-coding RNA of Oncorhynchus masou masou (cherry salmon), 414 nucleotides long. RefSeq lists it as uncharacterized. Lineage: Eukaryota; Metazoa; Chordata; Actinopteri; Salmoniformes; Salmonidae. The record is from RefSeq and is a predicted model, not a curated record. The transcript is spliced from 2 exons.
GGGAGGGUUACGGCCCGGAGGAGAGAAGUUGGGUACCUGCUAGGGACAUUCUGGAUCACUCCCUUAUCGAUGAUUUCAAUCGACAGUGUUUGUGUGGGCGUGGUUUCCCAAUCUCGGCCUGAUUGUCUGCGCCAGCUGGAACCACUUAUCUUCCCUUUAUAUGUUCUGUUACCAGUGUUUCUUGUUGUCAGUUCGUUGUUUCUUCUCUGAGGUUGUGUCGUGUGUCCGUGCUCUUCUCUUGUGUGGAUUAUCUGCUGUGCUCCUUCCUACUCAUCCGGACACACUCCCCUGGUUUUCUCAGCACGUUAUGAUCGGAAGAUGCGCCCGAGUUCCUGGGUCGGAUUCCUUCUGAGUACAGUCUGUCUGUCAUGUUGCUGCUGUGAACUACAUUCAUUAAAACCAUCGUUGCUUGCA